CCACAUUCAAAAUUCAAAAACCAAUAAACAUGUAUAUAAACCUCAACAGUCGCAGCGGAAUAUAAACCAGAGUAAAUUCAAAUAUACAUGUUGUGAAUAAAUAAAUUACAUCAACAUAGGUGCAUCUCAAAAAUCCCAACAAACGGGUCAUCUCCAAACAUAACAAAACCAAAGAUAACCUAAUCUAGACCGACACAACGAAGCCUAGAUCAGAGCCGACUAAUUCUAAACACCGAUAUCGGAGAAAGCUCCCGAUAUCCACCAAGCACAAGAACUCACCAAGCAACUAAACCUGCACAACGUCUACCCAUCCAUACAGAUAGGCAGUCGGUCCAUAACAGAUCCACUGGGGGUAAGUAUUACAUUAUCAUAAUCCAAAUAACAGAUAACAUGAAUAUUUCAAUUUAAACAUCAUGCAUUUGAUCAAUAAUAAUAUUCCCACAUCAAUACUUACAUCAAACCCCAAUAUCUCACAUCAAUAAUCACCAAUCACAUGUAUAAGGAACAAAUAUCAAUUCACAAGUAUUCAUUUACAAUCAUCAAUCACAACAUCAUCAAUAAUCAUUCAUCUCAUUUCAUCACCAAUCACAUAUUUCACAUAAGACUCAUGUUAUGAUAUGCACUUAUUGACACAUAAAUGCAUGUGGUACCAAAUCUCAACAAGGUCGUCACCUUCCGAUGCCACUUGCACAUCGUAUGUAAGGCUCACACCUGCCUUACAAUAAUCUCGAAGUAAAAGAGCUCAACCCUUUUACAGCAACAUCGACUAUGAUGCAUGAACAUGUAUAAGAACUCGAUAAUGCGACAACAAUUCACAAUCUCAACCUCAAUAUAUAGGACAACACCCAAUUAUAUUGAUUAUCUCCACAACAUUGCAUUAUCAAGAAACAUGCCCACACAAAUAAAUCAUAGUAUUCACCAUCACACAUCAACAUGAUUAUCAAUAAUCAACAAUGUCAUUCAACAUCAACUAUAUCAUAUAGUUUCACCAUUCCAAAUAAUUCUCAUAUUCCAAGUAAGAGAACAUACAACAUCUCAUGACAAAUAUCAUAUCCAACAUAUAACCAUUCAACAUCAACUAUCACAUAUAGUUUCACCAUUCAAGCAUUCCUUACAUUCUAAGUAAGAUAGCAUACAUAUCUCAUGAUAAACAUCAUAUUCAAUACAAUCAUUCAUUCAUACAACUUCACUUAGUCAUACAAGAAUAAUCUCAAUAACUCACAAGAAAAUUUGCUAAAGAAACAUUUCCGACAAAAAUCCAAAUCAUGUGGCAAACGGCCAACAUUGAUAAUUUUUAAAGCUAGGCAACUUAUUUAAGUUUGAAAUCCUACAAUUCAAUCUUAAUCAAUCAUGUAGCCAAGGAAUUAAGCCUUACAAACUAUUAGAAAUUAGUUCAAAGGAUAGCUCAAGUUCGUAUGAGAAAAACUAAGACAAAACGACAUUUAGCUCAAAACCCGUUUUCACCGAUGCAACUCCGCCCCAAAAUAUUUCUUGAACCAUCAACACAUUCACAUUCUCAAAUACAUAAAUGCAUACUCAAUUAUUCACUCUAAAUACUUCAUUAAGCCCAAUAUCAAGUUUGGAAAAGUUUCACGGCUCAUAGAAAAAGUUACGAUAAAUUUUCACAAAAAUCCACAUGACCCAUGUGUAGUAUUUUAAUCAUAUCUCAAGUUCUAAAAAUCAUUUGGACGUCAAACCAAAACCAAAAGAUAGCUAACAUAAUUGUCUACAACUUUCAUGUUUACCAAAAAGUCCAAAUCAAAAUAGAAAUAUGCGAAAACGAUGCAAGAGCGCAAAACAGGGAAAGCUGUCACUAGGCUGAUCGCCUCGCGAGUAAGGUUACUCGCCAUGGCGAGCAAUUCCAGUGGCUACUCGCCACCAACUCGCCUCGCGAGGAUGACAGUUUGCAGAAAAUUCUGUUUUCGUGAAAAAUCCAUUUUCACCCCAAAAUCCCAAUUUUUGACCUCCUAAUACCCAAAUUGAUUCCAAAGGUUUACCCAAAUGUUUUUAGACAUGAAAAGAUACUCAAAUCCAUAUACAAACUUGAAUCAAACAUCAUUUUAAACAAAAUCACCAUUUGACCCAUUUUCUCAAAACAACAACAACAUCUCAUUUUUCAUCAUCAAUCCAUAAUUAUGUAUACCCAAGUCGUAAUUCACCCACAACAACAUCAGUUAAUAGCAAUAACCUUAAUGGAACAUGAAUCACAUCUCAUUUUAACAACAACAUAUCAAGAUUCACUAAUUGAGUAUAAUUUCAUAGCUUGACAUUUAUACAUACUUUGAAACAUGUAAUUUCAUCCACAAACAUACCAUAAUCCUCAAUUCAUGCACAAGAAAAUAGCAUCACAACAAGAGCACGAAUUUAACAUCAAUUGUUCAUCAACCCAUUUUCAUACAACCAUGAGAAAUGAAAAUUUUUGAAUUGAUUAUGAUGAAAACAAACCCCCUUACCUUAGAUGAUGUUUAAUCUUAACUUAGGCUUCACUUUAGCUCCUAAUUGCUUCAAUCUUCAAGUUUCCCCCUUCCUCUAACCUUGUUCUUCCUUCACCUCUCACUUCUCUCUCUACCUCUCUCUAACUUAGUGAAAUGAAAAGGAAUGAAUGAAUUUGCUCUCACAACCCUAAUGUUAUUUCCCCCUAGUGGGCUUAAC
Molecule: long non-coding RNA, 2652 nt
Filed under: Medicago truncatula (barrel medic)
Lineage: Eukaryota; Viridiplantae; Streptophyta; Magnoliopsida; Fabales; Fabaceae
Description: long non-coding RNA (MTRU_LNC008431)
Source: RNAcentral